Molecule: non-coding RNA, 578 nt
Organism: Clarias gariepinus (North African catfish)
Lineage: Eukaryota; Metazoa; Chordata; Actinopteri; Siluriformes; Clariidae
Source: the annotation of a RefSeq genome assembly
CACAGACCGUUUCCUCCUCUCUCGCCUGAUACACAGCAGCAAUGGUUCAGUUUAUGACUUUGCCAUUGUUUAUUUUUACGGUUGCUUUGCUCUCAGAGACUCUGUGCUCUUUAACUUUGGAGGCAGAAGUUGGAGAUAAAGUCACCAUUUGGUGCCAACAUGACCUGAGUAUUACUGGAUCCAUCUUCUGGUUUAAACACAAGAGUGAUUCAGUUCCACUUCUUCUCGGGUGCAAAAAGUUUAGAGCAUCAGGAUCAUCACCAGUGUGUUACUUCUUCACUGAGACUGAGAGGAUAGUGAUGUCUGUCCAUGGCAAGAACACGUCUCUCACCAUCACGGCGGUAAACGUCUCUGAUACAGGACUCUAUUACUGCAGCUUUGGUGACGAAAUGGUCUUUAGUAACUCGACCUGUUUACAAGUGGGAGAUGACAACACCAACAGACAUGAUGAGGAGGAGCAGAAGCCUGAUUCAGUGAAUUACGCUGCUCUACAUUUCACUAAAAAGAAAAUCAAAAGAACAGGGAGACACAGUGACGUGGUGGAACCACAUGUUGUAUAUUCAGCUAUCAGACAAUAA